GACGUAGGAUGCAAGCGUUGUCCGGCAUUAUUGGGCGUAAAGCGUUCGUAGGCGGCCUGCCAAGUCUGAUGUUAAAUCCCGGGGCUCAACCCCGGACCGGCAUUGGAUACUGGCAAGCUAGAGUACGGUAGAGGUAAGGGGAAUUCCUAGUGUAGCGGUGAAAUGCGUAGAUAUUAGGAGGAACACCGGUGGCGAAAGCGCCUUACUGGACCGAAACUGACGCUGAGUGACGAAAGCCAGGGGAGCAAAGGGG
Molecule: ribosomal RNA, 253 nt
Filed under: uncultured bacterium
Lineage: Bacteria
Description: partial 16S ribosomal RNA
Rfam family: Bacterial small subunit ribosomal RNA
Source: RNAcentral